CUGAAAGAAAUUCCAACAAUCGUGGAUUAUGGCACGGAUAAAAGACUUGGUUGUGAAGAUUGCAAAAACUCAGAGAUAGUGGACAAAUUCUUUACAGAAUGA
This is a long non-coding RNA of Stylophora pistillata, 102 nucleotides long. Lineage: Eukaryota; Metazoa; Cnidaria; Anthozoa; Scleractinia; Pocilloporidae. The record is from RefSeq and is a predicted model, not a curated record.